UACGGAGGAUGCGAGCGUUAUCCGGAUUUAUUGGGUUUAAAGGGUGCGCAGGCGGAGGCACAAGUCAGCGGUAAAAUCGCGGGGCUCAACCCCGCUCCGCCGUUGAAACUGGCAGUCUCGAGUUGGAGAGAAGUAUGCGGAAUGCGUGGUGUAGCGGUGAAAUGCAUAGAUAUCACGCAGAACUCCGAUUGCGAAGGCAGCAUACCGGCGCCCGACUGACGCUGAGGCACGAAAGUGCGGGUAUCGAACAGG
This 252-nucleotide ribosomal RNA is filed under the name uncultured Bacteroidales bacterium. RNAcentral's name for it is "partial 16S ribosomal RNA". It matches the Rfam family "Bacterial small subunit ribosomal RNA", at positions 524 to 776 of the family's 1533-position model. The record is from RNAcentral. Lineage: Bacteria; Pseudomonadati; Bacteroidota; Bacteroidia; Bacteroidales.